RNAcentral lists this ribosomal RNA (170 nucleotides) under Sebastapistes fowleri (pigmy scorpionfish). Its description in RNAcentral is "partial 12S rRNA". Lineage: Eukaryota; Metazoa; Chordata; Actinopteri; Perciformes; Scorpaenidae. The record is from RNAcentral.
CACCGCGGUUAUACGUGAGACCCAAGUUGACAGUUCUCGGCGUAAAGAGUGGUUAAGGAAUACCAUAAAAUAAAGUAGCACUCCAUCCACACUGUUAUACGUCUUUGAUGGACAGAAAAUCGCCCACGAAAGUGACUUUAUACACACCUGAAUCCACGAAAGCUAUGGCA